CGAACUGCUCAAUUUAUUGAACAGUUAGUGGCGAAAGGGUUAGUAAUGGAUAGGUAACGUGCCCUGGGCUCCGGAAUAGCGUCGUUCGCCUUCGGGCGAGCUACCGAAAGGGACGGUAAUACCGGGUAAUAUCAUGUGUCGAUAGGCAUAUGAUCAAAGAUUUAUCGGCCCAGGAGCGGCCUAUCUCCUAUCAGCUUGUUGGUGGGGUAAUGGCCUACCAAGGCAGCGACGGGUAGCGGGACUGAGAGGUUGACCCGCAACAUCGGGACUGAGACACUGCCCGGACCUCCACGGAGGGCUGCAGUAACGAAUCUUGUGCAAUGGGCGAAAGCCUGACACAGCGACGCCGCGUGUAGGAGGAAGUCUUUCGGGAUGUAAACUACUGUCAGGGCUAAGAAAGUCCGCUCCGGCGGAUUGAUCUAACCCAAAGGAAGUCACGGCUAACUUCGUGCCAGCAGCCGCGGUAAGACGAAGGUGGCGAGCGUUGUUCGGUGUUACUGGGCUUAAAGCGUGUGUAGGCGGAAAAGUAAGCGUUCUGUGAAAGCCCUCGGCUUAACCGAGGAAUUGCUUGGCGAACUGCUUUUCUUGAGGCAAGCAGGGGUGCAUGGAACUCUUGGUGGAGCGGUGGAAUGCGUAGAUAUCAAGAGGAACGCCGGUGGUGAAAACGGUGCACUGGGCUUGUUCUGACGCUGAGACACGAAAGCGUGGGGAGCGAACGGGAUUAGAUACCCCGGUAGUCCACGCCGUAAACGAUGUCUACUAGGUUGUGGUGGUUCUGACACCAGCAC
Molecule: ribosomal RNA, 788 nt
Filed under: uncultured bacterium
Lineage: Bacteria
Description: bacterial SSU rRNA
Rfam family: Bacterial small subunit ribosomal RNA
Source: RNAcentral